ACGGUCAUAACACACUGAAAACACCGGUUAUCGUAUGAUCAUCCAAGUUAAGCAACGUUCGGCCCGGUCAGUACUUGGGAGGGUGAAAAAUCGGGUAAUUUAGGCUGAUUCCUCU
Molecule: non-coding RNA, 115 nt
Organism: Cordylochernes scorpioides
Lineage: Eukaryota; Metazoa; Arthropoda; Arachnida; Pseudoscorpiones; Chernetidae
Source: the annotation of a GenBank genome assembly